This 1033-nucleotide long non-coding RNA is filed under the name Apteryx owenii (little spotted kiwi). RNAcentral describes it as "lncRNA (ENSAOWG00000017148.1)". Lineage: Eukaryota; Metazoa; Chordata; Aves; Apterygiformes; Apterygidae. The record is from RNAcentral.
GUUUAUUCAGCAACCUGAUCUAAGCAAGGAUUAUGGAAGAUUGAUCAAACAAAGUUUUUGGCACAAUCCAGCAACAAGCAUCAAUAAACUCUUUUUCCCCUGCUUUUCUUUUCCGCCAUACAUUCAGUUCAGUGCUCAGUCAGUAAUUUCUUAGAAACAUCUCACUAAACUCAAAAUGAGAACAGCAACAAAAACAAAAGGAAAUAUAUAGAGAGAUGACUUAAGUGAGUUUGGAAAUCACUUCUCAUAUGAAACACUCUUUUACUCACAUACACGAAAAGCAUCAAAAUUCCGUACCUCUGAUGUAAACAGCAGAAAGAAAAAGUCAUCUGGAAGGACAGCAUGAUUCAUAUUGAGGACCUGACUAGUAAUAUUCAUCAGUGUUGAAAUUCGCUCUGCAAGAUGACUACAUGUGAAAGCAGCACCAGUGAAAUCCCUGCUUUGGCCAUGAGAAGUAUCAUUAACUGCAAAGCUGUGUGGUUAGGCUCCAAUGCCACAACCCUUGCUCCAGUGAGUAAUCUUAAGUCAGCCAACCAGUCUCAGUUAAAACAACAGCACAAUUCAGGACCAAUCCUGCUCUCAUUGACAGUGAUGGGAAUUUUCAUUUUAGCUUCUUCAGAGAGUUUAGUGCAGGAAAAAAAGAGCGAAUUUCCCUGUGUGGAUGGUGUCUUCUCUGCAGCGUUUCCACGGUCUUGUGCAGUCUGAUGUUACAUUUAAAGCCAUUGAUGGUGGCCUGCAAACCUGAGCCUAACAAAUUCGGUGACAAAGGUCCUCCCAGCUGAGAAGAGUCGGUCCUUCGCUCUGCAGUGAUGUGACUUUUAUGAAAAUAGUUUUCUCUUUCUGACAAAGAGAAGCUGAAACCUACUGGCUCACCUGGCUGUGGAGGAAAGAUUAGAGAUGUGAACUCCAAGUUCCGAAAAAUGAGGCAAAGAGAAAGAACCCAGACUGUACUUCAAAUUAAAAAGUGCACAUUUGCGUUGGGGAUUUUUAAAAUGUUUUUAUUUUGUUGUGCUGUAUAUUGCUGCCUGUCACU